AAACGACUCUCGGCAACGGAUAUCCCGGCUCUCGCAUCGAUGAAGAACGUAGCGAAAUGCGAUACUUGGUGUGAAUUGCAGAAUCCCGUGAACCAUCGAGUUUUUGAACGCAAGUUGCGCCCGAUGGCAUUAGGCUGAGGGCACGUCUGCCUGGGUGUCACGU
Molecule: ribosomal RNA, 163 nt
Filed under: Bupleurum rockii
Lineage: Eukaryota; Viridiplantae; Streptophyta; Magnoliopsida; Apiales; Apiaceae
Description: 5.8S ribosomal RNA
Rfam family: 5.8S ribosomal RNA
About the family: 5.8S ribosomal RNA (5.8S rRNA) is a component of the large subunit of the eukaryotic ribosome.
Source: RNAcentral